RNAcentral lists this ribosomal RNA (253 nucleotides) under uncultured bacterium. Its description in RNAcentral is "partial 16S ribosomal RNA". It matches the Rfam family "Bacterial small subunit ribosomal RNA", at positions 524 to 776 of the family's 1533-position model. The record is from RNAcentral.
UACGUAGGGCGCGAGCGUUGUCCGGAAUUAUUGGGCGUAAAGAGCUCGUAGGCGGCCGGUUGCGUCUGCUGUAAAAUCCCGGGGCUUAACCCCGGGCGUGCAGUGGAUACGGGCCGGCUGGAGGCAGGCAGGGGAGAAUGGAAUUCCUGGUGUAGCGGUGAAAUGCGUAGAGAUCAGGAGGAACACCCGUGGCGAAGGCGGCUCUCUGGGUCCGCCCUGACGCUGAGGCGCGAAAGCGUGGGGAGCGAACGGG